Long non-coding RNA from Helianthus annuus (common sunflower), 257 nucleotides. RefSeq lists it as uncharacterized. The transcript is spliced from 3 exons. Lineage: Eukaryota; Viridiplantae; Streptophyta; Magnoliopsida; Asterales; Asteraceae. The record is from RefSeq and is a predicted model, not a curated record.
UAAGGUCUAUUUUGUUGCAUCCGAAGAUAUGGAUUCUUUUACUUUUGGAGCACCCAAAUUUCUUCGUCAUUUAAUGGACCCGAGCUCAAGAAAGACCCCUGUGAUGGAGUUUGAUGUUUCAAAGGUUUUGGAGGAACUUAACCUGACAUUGGAUCAAUUUAUUGAUUUGUGCAUUCUAUGUGGGUGUGAUUAUUGUGACAGCAUUAAAGGUAUCGGUGGUCAGACAGCUUUGAAGCUUAUCCGUCAACAUGAUUCAA